GAUGAACGCUGGCGGCGUGCUUAACACAUGCAAGUCGAACGGUGAAGGCGGAGCUUGCUCUGCUGGAUCAGUGGCGAACGGGUGAGUAACACGUGAGCAAUCUGCCCCUGACUCUGGGAUAAGCGCUGGAAACGGCGUCUAAUACUGGAUACGAGCUGCGAAGGCAUCUUCAGCAGCUGGAAAGAACUUCGGUCAGGGAUGAGCUCGCGGCCUAUCAGCUUGUUGGUGAGGUAACGGCUCACCAAGGCGUCGACGGGUAGCCGGCCUGAGAGGGUGACCGGCCACGCUGGGACUGAGAAACGGCCCAGCAUCCUACGGGAGGCAGCAGUGGGGAAUAUUGCACCGUGGGCGAAAGCCUGAUGCAGCAACGCCGCGUGCGGGACCACGGCCUUCGGGUUGUAAACCUCUUUUAGCAGGGAAGAAGCGAAAGUGACGGUACCUGCAGCAACAGCCCCGGCUAACUACGUG
RNAcentral lists this ribosomal RNA (468 nucleotides) under uncultured bacterium. RNAcentral's name for it is "partial 16S ribosomal RNA". It matches the Rfam family "Bacterial small subunit ribosomal RNA", at positions 28 to 507 of the family's 1533-position model. The record is from RNAcentral.